Molecule: ribosomal RNA, 406 nt
Filed under: uncultured bacterium
Lineage: Bacteria
Description: partial 16S ribosomal RNA
Rfam family: Bacterial small subunit ribosomal RNA
Source: RNAcentral
AUUGAACGCUGGCGGCAGGCCUAACACAUGCAAGUCGAGCGAGCGGCGGACGGGUGAGUAAUGUCUGGGAAACUGCCUGAUGGAGGGGGAUAACUACUGGAAACGGUAGCUAAUACCGCAUACCAUCAGAUGUGCCCAGAGGGGAUUAGCUAGUAGGUGGGGUAACGGCCCACCUAGGCGACGAUCCCUAGCUGGUAUGAGAGGAUGACCAGCCACACUGGAACGUAGACACGGUCCAGACUCCUACGGGAGGCAGCAGUGGGGAAGAUUGUACAAUGGGAGAAAGCCUGAUGCAGCCAUGCCGCGUGUGGGAAGAAGGAAUUAGGGUUGUAAAGCACUUUCAGCGGGGAGGCGUUACCAGCAGAAGAAGCACCGGCUAACUCCGUGCCAGCAGCCGCGGUAAUUC